GCGAGGUUGCUGGGGGGUGUUUACUCGUGUAACUGAAAUAAGUCACAAUGGAGGUUUCAACAACCUGAAUGGAGAUGUAGAUGUUGGGGCUGAGGUGAAAAGCCCACAGGCUGUGAGUGAAGGAGGAGAAGCGGUGUGUUAAAGCAGCCUGGGACUGUGUGGGCUAGGGCAGCUUCAGGAGCUGCAUCUCACGCUUUUUAGCUUUUAGCUGAGGACUUAAGCGGAUGUCCCUUUCCAAUUCAAACGUCUUUUUGCUAAAAGAGGUUAGUUCGGUUUUUCACUGUGUUUGUUGCUGUAAGGAAAUAACAUGGAGAGAGAGAGAGAGAGAGAGAGAGAGAGAGAGAGAGAGAAGUGUAAAGUGGAUGAGCAUGGCAUUUCUCUACCAGCAAGAUGGAAAUGGUCUUUAAUCUUCGUGUGUAUUCAUGUUGUGGUCACUUAAUAUACGUUGAUAUUCCUCUCAUAAAUAAAUGUAUCAAAUUGCACUUUUCCAUCAUCAAAUCUACAUUUUUUUAUUUUACCUAUAUUUAUCGUUCACAUAAGAUCGUGCAUGUGGUGUAUCUUGAAGGUACAACAGCGGUGCUUAAGGUAAAAGUAUGUAAAGAGUACUUUUUAAAGAGUGCACUAUAUUCACAUUUUCAGGUAGGACAAACAUACUAAAGGUACAAAGGUAGAACCACAAGGUUCUACACCGGGUCACAGGGAGCCUGGAGCCUGUCGCAGGGAACUCGGGACACAGCGAGGGACACCCUUGACAAGGUGCCAACCCACCCAUCGCAGGGUACAAGUGUACACACAUCCACACACACGGACAUGUCUUUGGACUGGCAGAGGAAACCGGAGUACCUUGAGGAAACCUCAGAAGCACGGGGAGAACAUGCAAAUGCUGUGCACACAGGACAGAGGUGGGAUUCGAGCACCCAACCCCCUGGAGAUGCGAGGCAAACGUGCUAACC
Ictalurus punctatus (channel catfish) is the source of this 953-nucleotide long non-coding RNA. NCBI's taxonomy places the organism in Eukaryota, Metazoa, Chordata, Actinopteri, Siluriformes, Ictaluridae. The record is from Ensembl.